UACGUAGGGGGCAAGCGCUGUCCGGAUUUACUGGGCGUAAAGAGCGUGUAGGCGGCCAGGCAGGUCUGUUGUGAAAACUGGAGGCUCAACUUCCAGACGUCGACAGAAACCGCUUGGCUAGAGUCCGGAAGAGGAGAGUGGAAUUCCUGGUGUAGCGGUGAAAUGCGCAGAUAUCAGGAAGAACACCGAUGGCGAAGGCAGCUCUCUGGGACGGUACUGACGCUGAGACGCGAAAGCGUGGGGAGCGAACAGG
Molecule: ribosomal RNA, 253 nt
Filed under: uncultured bacterium
Lineage: Bacteria
Description: partial 16S ribosomal RNA
Rfam family: Bacterial small subunit ribosomal RNA
Source: RNAcentral